RNAcentral lists this long non-coding RNA (6362 nucleotides) under Homo sapiens (human). Its description in RNAcentral is "HSALNT0222483". Lineage: Eukaryota; Metazoa; Chordata; Mammalia; Primates; Hominidae. The record is from RNAcentral.
CAAACAUCUUUGCCUUGGUCCUGAUCUUAGGGGCAAAGUAGUCAAUAUUUCACUAAAUAUGAUAUCCAUUGCAUUUUUUUUCUCAUGGAUGCCCUUCAUCAGGUUGAAGAUGUUCCCAUCUAUUCUUUAUUUGCUGAGAAUUUUUAUGAUUUUGUUUUGUUUUUACUUUCUCAGGGGCUGAGAAGGGUAUUGAAGUUUUAGGUUCAUAGGAAAUUGAGGAAAUACAGACACUUGCCAUAUACCAGCUGCCCCAACACAUGCAUAGCCUCUUCCCUCCCUAUCAACAUCUCCCACAAGAACAUGUAAAGCAAACAUCUCCCACAUUUGUUACAACUGAUGUAUAUAUACGGACACAUCUUUAUCACCCAAAGUCCAUAAUUUACUUUUGGCUUCAGUCUUGUACAUUCUGUGGCUUUGGACAGAGUCUCACUCUGUCACCCAGGCUGGAGCACAGUGGCACAAUCUUGACUCACUGCAACUUCCACCUCCUGGGUUCAAGCCAUUCUCCUGCCUCAGCCUCCUGAGUAACUGGAAUUACAGGUGUGCGCCACCAUGCCCGGCUAAUUUUUGUAUUUUUAGUAGAGACGGGGUUUUGCCAGGUUGGCCCGGCUGGUCUGAAACUCCUGACCUCAGGUGAUCUGCCCACCUCAGCCUCCCAAAGUGCUGGGAUUACAGGCAUGAGCCACCACACCUGGCCUGGACAAAUAUAUUAAUAUAACAACAUGCAUCCACCACUAUGGUAUCACACAGGGUAAUUUCACUGCCCUAACAACCCUCUGUGCUCUGUUCAUCCUUCCCUCCCCACUAAUGCCUGGCAACCACUGAUCCGUUUGCUGUCUUAUAGUUUUGCCUUUUCCAGAAGGCCAUAUUGUUGGAAUCAUGUGGGAUGCAGCCAUUUCAAAUUGGUUCCUUUCUAUAGUAAUACGCACUUCAGUUUCCUACAUGUCUUUUCAUAGCUCAUUUCUUUUUAGAAUUGAGUAGUAGUCUUUUAUCUGGAUGUACCACAGUUUAUUCAUUUAUUCACCUAUUGAAGGACAUUUUGGUUGCCUCCAGGUUUUGGCAACUGUGAAUAAAGCUGCUGUAAACAUCCAUGUGCAGGUUUUUGUGUGGACAUAUAUUUCUAACUCCUUUGGGUAAAUAGGAGUGUGAUUGCUGAGUUCUAACAUUAAAAGUAUGUUUAGUUUUGUAAGAAGCUGCCAAACUGUCUUCCAAAGUGGUUAUACUAUUUUGCAUUCCCAACAUCGAUAAAUGAACAGUCCAUUGCUCAAUAUCCUCACCAGCAUCUGGUGGUGUCAGUGUUCUGGAUUUGGGCAUUCUAAUAGGAGAGAGGGUCUCAUUCUAUUGCCCAGGCUGGAGUGCAGUGGCACAAUCAUGGCUCACUGCAGCCUCAAUCUCCAGGGUUCAAGCAAUCCUCCCACUUCAACCUCCCAAGUAGCUGGGACCACAGGUAUGUGACACCGUGCCCUGCUAACUUAUUCUGUAUUUUUUAAAUUAUUUUGGAGAGACGUAGGUCUCACUAUGUUACCCAGGCUGGUCUUGAACUCCUGGGCUCAAGCAAUACUCCCCCUCCCUAAGUGCUGGGAUUACAGGCAUGAGCUACCCACCGCACUCAGCUCUUUGUAGGGAUUUAUCAUAAAUUUUUUUUCCAUAGAAUUUGGGGCUUCUCAAAUUUUUCUUUAAUACUUGUUUGUUUGUUCCUUCUACUUACUUUGGGUUUAUUUUUCUCUGCUUUUUCUAGCUUAAGGUGGAAACCUGUUAUCACUGAUUUUCUCCUUUCUUCUGAUAGAAGCAUUUACAAUUCUAAGUUUCCCUCUAAGCACUGCUUUUGGCUGAAUCCUAUACGUUUUGUUUUCAUUAUCAUUUAGUUCAAAGUAUUUUUUUCUUUUUUUCCCUUGAUUUAUGAGUUGCUGUGUGUGUGUAAGAGACAAGGUCUCCCUCUGUUGUUCAGGCUGGAGUGCAGUGGUGCCAUCAUAGCUCACUGCAGCCUCAAACUCCUGGGCUCAAGCAAUCCUGCUCCCUCAGCCUCCUGACUUGCUGGGACUACAGGCGUGCGCCACCACACCUGGCUAAUUUUCGUAUUUUUAAUAGAGAUAGGGUUUCACCAUGUUAGCCAGGGUGGUCUCAAACUCCUGGCCUCAAGUGAUCUGCCUGCCUUGGCCUCCCAAAGUGCUGGGACUGCAGGCAUGAGCCACAAUUUCUUUACUCACUCAUCAGUUGAUGGGCACUUGGGCUGGUUCCAUAUUUUUGCAAUUGCAAACUGUGCUGCUAUAAACAAGCAUGUGCAAGUAUCUUUUUCAUAUAAUGAUUUAUUUUCCUCUGGGUAAGAUAUCCAGGGGUGGUAUUGCUGAAUCAGGUGGUAGAACUACUUUUAGUUAAGGAAUCUCCACAGUUUUCCAUAGUGGUUAUACUAGUUUACUUUCCCACCAACAGUGUAAAAGUGUUUCCUUUUCACCACAUCCAUGCCAACAUCUAUAUUUUGAUUUUUUGACUAUGGCCAUUCUUGUGGCAGUAAGGUGGUAUCACAUUGUGGUUAUGAUUUGCAUUUCCCUGAUCUUUAGCAAUGUUGAGCAUUUUUUCACAUUUCUUGGCCAUUUGUAUAUCUUUUGAGAAUUGUCUGUUCAUGUCCUUAGCCCACUUUUUGAUGGGAUUUUUUUUUUUUUUUUUUGCUGAUCUGAGUUCCUUGUAGAUUCUGGAUAUUAGUCCUUCAUCAGGUGUAUAGAUUGCAGAAAUUUUCUCCUACUCUGCGGGUUGUCUGUUUAGUCUGCUGAUUAUUUAUUUUGUUGUGCAGAAGCUUUUUAGUUUAAUUAAGUCCCAUUUAUUUAUCUUUGUUUUCGUUUCGUUUGCUUUUGGGUUCUUUAGUCAUGAAGUCUUUGCCUAGGCCAAUGUUGAGAAGGAUUUUUUUCAAUGUUAUCUUCUAGAAUUUUAUGGUUUCAGGUCUUAGAUUUAAGUGUUUGAUCCAUCUUGAGUUGAUUUUUGUAUAAGAUGAGAGAUGAGGAUCCAGUUUCAUUCUUCUAUUUGUGGCUUGCCAAUUAACCCAGCACCAUCUGUUGAAUAGGGUGUCCUUUCCCCACUUUUUUGUUUGCUUGCCGAAGAUCAGUUGACUGUAAGUAUUUGGUUUUAUUUAUGGGUUCUCUAUUCUGUUCCAUUGGUCUAUAUGCCUGAUUUUAUACCAGUACCACACUCUUCUGGUGACUAUGGCCUUGUAGUAUAGUUCGAAGUCAGAUAAUGUGAUGCCUCCAGAUUUGUUCUUUUUACUUAGUCUCACUUUGGCUUUGCAGAUUUGUUCUUUUUACUUAGUCUUGCUUUGGCUAUGCGGGCCCUUUUUUGGUUUCAUAUGAAUUUUAGGAUUGUUUUUUCUAAUUCUGUGAAGAAUGAUUUUGGUAUUUUGAUGGGAAUUGCACUGAACCUCUAGAUUGCUUUUGGCAGUAUGGUCAUUUUCACAAUAUCGAUUCUACCCAUACAUGAGCAUGGGAUGUAUUUCCAUUUGUUUGCGUCAUCUAUGAUUUCUUUCAGUGAUGUUUUGUAGUUUUCCUUGUAGAGGUCUUUUACUUCCUUGGUUCAGUAUAUUCCUAAGUUGUUUUUUUGUUUGUUUUUUGUUUUUUUGCAGCUAUUGUAAAAGGGGUUGGGUUCUUGAUUUCUCAGCUUGGUUGCUGUUGGCAUAUAGCAGGGCUACUGAUUUAUGUACUUUACUUUACUUUUGUAUCCUGAAACUUUGCUGAAUUGAUUUACCAGUUCUAGGAGCUUUUUGGAUGAGUCUUUAAGGUUUUCUAGGUAUACGAUCAUGUCAUCAGCAAACAGCGACAGUUUUACUUCUUCUUUACUGAUCUGGAUGCCCUUUCUUUCUCUUGUCUGAUUGCUCUGGCUAGGACCAUGUUCAGCUUUUCACAAACUAUUUAGGAUUAAUUUUGUGUCCCACUACAUAAAAUAUUAAAACCUUGCAACCAUAUAUGCUUUAUAGUUGUCAUGUUAUUUAUGUAUGUUCAGCCUCACAUACACUGUGAUAUUUUUUCUUUGAACAAUCAUAUGUAUUUUUUUAAAGUUAAACCGAGAGAGUAUUUUAUAUUUACCACUUGUUUACAUUUGUUAUUUAUGGAAGGAUUGGUCCGACAUGAACUACUAAGCCAUUAUCAGACAAUAAUGAGUUUUCCUUGAAAACAAAAAUCAUUGUAGUGACACACUCCAAAGUGGUUUACUGUCUUUGGAAUGCACAGUUUUGCCCAAUAUUAUUCAGCAAGAAGGAUACUUUUUUCUCAUUGCUAGUUCAUACUUCUACUUUCCUGCCUCUCUCUUUCAGUUUUCUAAAACCACAUCCGUAGCUGUGAUUAUGUUCUUGGUUUCAUUUUCCUAAUUCUGUUACAAAUUCUGAUGACAUGAGCAACCAACCCCCAUACUAGAAGUUAGAAUAGCUCCUAUCUCACCAGAGUAAAAGAAAAAUUGCAAAUUCACAUGCCCAAAAGACUGACCCUGCACACCCUAGUAGAGUUUAUUUUUAAAAGAAAAUCUAAGUCAAAUUAAUGUGGAAAGCAUUGCUUCUUUACUGCUAUCCCUGGAAGCAAAGCACCAUCUUGCCCCCAAAUGUGGAAAAACUCAAAAACUCUACUCUUGCAUUCUCUGUUUCCACCAUGCUAUACUUAAAAAAGACUACCUUUUUACCCUUCUCUCCCCAAAUAUUAGAAGUUUCUCAUAUCAGAGUAAUGAAUACAGUUCUGUCCUCUGAAAACCUCUUCCCUCUACAUCAAAGCUUUCUGAAAUAAAAGUAGUCCAAUAUCUACUCAUUCAGUCUUCAAGUCCUUAAGUUUCUGUUGCCACCACUGCUUCAUCAAAGAUACAUCACUGCUUGAUGAUUGAUGGUUAAGAGCAAGAGCUCUGCAUCCAGACCUGGAUUAAAAUCCUGGUCCUGCCACUUACCUUUGAAAAUUUGUUUUGUCUCUCCUAACCUAAGCUUUCUCUUCUAUAAAAUGGGGAUAACAGUACCUCUCUGUUGGAAGUGUUCAAUGAGGCUGACCAUUCUCUUCCCAAACCUUUCUUCGUUGGCUUCCCAUAAUACCACUCUCCUGGGUUUUUUCUUGUAUCAUAUGCUUUUUUGUGGGCUCUUCUGCUUCUCCCUCUAAAUACUUAUUUUCUUUCAUUUGGUUGCCUGUCGUCUUAUUCCUAGCUUUCCGUGGAUGACUCCUUUCAAAACUAUGGUUUUGAUGAUUCCUCAAAUCUAAAUUACUCCUGAAUCUUAAAAAAUUUUUUUUUGAGAUGGGGUCUUGCUUUGUUUCCCAGGCUGGAGUGCAGUGGCAUGAUCAUAGCUUACUGCCACCUCAAAUUCCUAGGCUCAAGUGAUCCUCUUGCCUCAGUCUCCCAAAUAGCUGAAACUAUAGGUGCGCACAACUGCGCCUGGCUUUUUAAUUUUUUGUAGACAUGAGGUCUGAGCCAUCUUGCCCAGGCCAGUCUCCAACUCCUGGGUUCAAGUGAUCCUCUGGCUUUGGCCUCCCAAAGUGCUGGGAUUACACGUGUGAGCCACCGUAUCUGGCCUACUCCUGAAUCUUUAUCUUCAAACCAGGUUUCAUUCCUGAAAUCUAGCUAUUCAGGUAUCUGAUGGAUAUCAUCAUUAGAUAUCUUAAACAUCUAAAACUAGAUUCCACAACCAACCCUCAACCCUAGUCCAAUAUUCCUUUACUCUCCCUGGUUAUCUAAGCCCUGAAAUGGGUACCCAAUUAUUAACCUGCCACAUCCAAUCAAUCCCCAAUUCCUGUUGAUAUUAGCUCCUAAAUCUCUCUUCCUCUUUUUUCACUAAGACUUUUCCAGUUUCAGAAAGUAACUAGACCAUUUCAUUCUAAUAUACUAGACUCCAUGCUGAAGUAGAAGUGUUCUCAAUUGUUCAGGGUACAAAUCCACGUUUGCCACAUACCACCAGCUGAAUGACAAAGGCAUCACUUCUGAUACUUUUUGAGAUACAAGAAAUGAAGGGGGUCCUGCUCAGUUAGCUGCUUCUUCAAUGUCAAAACAGACCCUGUAAUAAAAUAAGGAACUCCAACCGGUUUGGUAGUAGGUCAGUUUUCUAUCUAUCAUCUAUCUAAUCUAUCUAUCUUUAAAUUAUGGUGAUUAAAGGGCACUUUCAGUGCAAAAUGGGGACUGGCCCUCAGUAAGCAAAUUGCUGGCUUAUCAUGCAUCAGGGUUGCUGCAGAGGCCAUGCCUGUACCAAGCAGGAACUUGGCCUUGAGGUUCCUCCUCCAAUUUCAAAAUAGGCUUAGACACAGGUAAGGGAAGACCGUGAUCAUAGGUUCUUUUAGGUUUUUAUUAUGAUCUCUUGUUUUUAUACCUGAAUAACAAUUUUCCCCAAAGGAAUGAUGAUAUGUAAUCUUUAUUCUAAAAAG